RNAcentral lists this ribosomal RNA (403 nucleotides) under bacterium. RNAcentral's name for it is "partial 16S ribosomal RNA". It matches the Rfam family "Bacterial small subunit ribosomal RNA", at positions 355 to 776 of the family's 1533-position model. The record is from RNAcentral.
UGGGGAAUAUUGCACACUGGGGGAAACCCUGAUGCAGCGACGCCGCGUGAACGAAGAAGGUAUUCGUAUCGUAAAGUUCUGUCCUAUGGGAAGAUAAUGACAGUACCAUAGAAGAAAGCUCCGGCUAAAUACGUGCCAGCAGCCGCGGUAAUACGUAUGGAGCGAGCGUUGUCCGGAAUUAUUGGGCGUAAAGGGUACGCAGGCGGUUUAAUAAGUCGAAUGUUAAAGAUCGGGGCUCAACCCCGUAAAGCAUUGGAAACUGAUAAACUUGAGUAGUGGAGAGGAAAGUGGAAUUCCUAGUGUAGUGGUGAAAUACGUAGAUAUUAGGAGGAAUACCAGUAGCGAAGGCGACUUUCUGGACACAAACUGACGCUGAGGUACGAAAGCGUGGGGAGCAAACAGG